AGGUGCACCCUGCCGAGUUCGGCAGUCCCUGAUUCCUUGCUUGUCGCCCGCGCGGCUUGAGCGAGUGAUAUCCGGAAGGCUCAGGAAAACAAAGGAGGGGUGUGGCCGAGGCAGUGGGGACGGUUAACGAUCGAGUAAUUUCGGUGCACCGAACCCAGAACUCAGGAGAAAG
Chiloscyllium plagiosum (whitespotted bambooshark) is the source of this 172-nucleotide non-coding RNA. The record is from RefSeq and is a predicted model, not a curated record. NCBI's taxonomy places the organism in Eukaryota, Metazoa, Chordata, Chondrichthyes, Orectolobiformes, Hemiscylliidae.